GGUUGCGAUCAUACCAGCACUAAAGCACCGGAUCCCAUCAGAACUCCGCAGUUAAGCGUGCUUGGGCGAGAGUAGUACUAGGAUGGGUGACCCCCUGGGAAGUCCUCGUGUUGCAACCCU
RNAcentral lists this ribosomal RNA (120 nucleotides) under Tagetes patula. Lineage: Eukaryota; Viridiplantae; Streptophyta; Magnoliopsida; Asterales; Asteraceae. The record is from RNAcentral.